This is an RNA transcript of Prunus persica (peach), 2024 nucleotides long. RefSeq lists it as uncharacterized. The record is from RefSeq and is a predicted model, not a curated record. The transcript is spliced from 3 exons. Lineage: Eukaryota; Viridiplantae; Streptophyta; Magnoliopsida; Rosales; Rosaceae.
GGCCUUAAACAAGACUUUCCCAUCUCGCAAACUCAGAAAAACGCACGUGUAGCUUUUACAGAAGAAGGUUCGGAAAGCACACAAAGCCCUUCAUCUUAAUCCUUGUUUGGUUAACAGAAGUAGCUUCAAGCAUUGGCCUCGUUUCACUCAGAUGAAUAUAUUGCCUGGAAAUAAGGGUUUUGGGUUUUGAGUUGAAGAUCCUGCAUUCUGUCAUCUGGGUUCUGCUGGAGAAUUCGAGGUUUCAAUGUGGAUCUGAUUUUGGUGAAUUAUAAGACAAGAAGUGGAGGGAAAAGAGAUGUUGCCCAAUCAAAGCUAUUCUCGUAUUGACACUUCAGAGCUAAAAUUUACAAUUGUUCAAAAAAUUGGGCAUCAGAGAGCUGAGAAAUACUUUGAUCUGACCAGAAGAUUGUUUGGUUUGAAGAUUAGCAAGUGUGAUUUCAACAAAUUCUGCAUUCGGACUAUUGGGAGGGAAAAUGUCCAUCUUCAUAACAAGCUUAUUAGGUCAAUUAUCAAGAAUGCUUGCCUUGCAAGAACUCCACCACUGACAGGUAUUAGGAAAACGGGAGGUGCCCUCAAUGCUAAAGUUGUAAUUGGCUAUCAGAAGAGUUGUGCUCAACCGCUUUACGGGGAUGCAUUUCCUCAAUGCCCUCGCAAGGGCCGGUCUGCUGUUAAUCGAGAUCGUAAGUUUCGGGACCGGCCAAGUCCUUUGGGGCCAAAUGGAAAGCCCCAAAAUAUUGCAUAUGAGGAAUUGAUUUCCAAAGCACAUGAGCAGCAAAGUCCUACUGAGUUGCUUUCUCUUGACAGCAGGCCUCCCAUUGAAGUUGCCUCUGAGGAUGGAGAAGAAGUUGAACAGGUUGCAGGGAGCCCAGCUAUUCAAAGUAGAAGCCCAGUAACAGCUCCCUUUGGUAUAUCCAUGCAUUUGGUUGGAUCACGUAAAGCUUUUCCUAAUGUAUCAGUGUGUGGUGGUACAUACCACCGUGAAACCUGUCAAAACUGUGGUGAGCUACCUGAUACAAAAUCGUUAAGAAGUCGUUUGGAGCGUAAGUUGGAGACGGAGGGUAUUGGUGUUUCUGUAGACUGUGUUAACCUCUUGAACAAUGGGUUAGAUACUUUCCUGAAGAGAUUACUGGAACCUUGUAUUCGAUUAGCUGGGACAAGGCAUGGGGAUGAGCAAUUAAAACAACUAAACAGUCUGUAUAUAUGUGGUUCAAAUGGGACAUUGCGUGGGGGACAUAUGCAAAGAGAAACAAAAUCUACUUAUGCAUCCAUGUUAGAUUUUUGUGCAGCAGUGGAGUUAAAUCCGCAAAUACUUGGUGAAAAUUGGCCCAUACAGCUUGAGAAGAUUGUCGUACGUGCUUCUGAAGAGUGAAAAAAAAAACCUUUUAUACGCACAUUCAGCAGUUGAUGAGAUCAAGGGACGUGAAACUUACACCCUCAAUUAUUCAUAGUUCAGUUUUUUGAUCAUUUGACCUCACAUGGAUUUGUAGGCUUUGCCUCUUCAAGGUUUUAAGCAUUGACAUAAGAAAAAUUUGUGGAUUCUGUGGGAAGUUUGGGUAAAGCUCAUUAGGUUGCAUAGGCUUGAUAGUCAUUCUUAAGAGGGCAUGUUAAUACAGUAAUAUGUUAACGUUUUCAUACAAGACCUCACUGUUUGAAGUGUGGAGAAGGAAAGAGAAGUUGGGUAAGUUGGUUCCGCUCAGCUUCGUCGGCUAUAUAAUUUCAAAGAAAUUUCUUUUGAUUAAAUAGUUUUGAAGAGGUACUCUUAAUUGGUUGUGAACAGUGGAAGGCGCACAGCCAGAUCUGAAGCCUCAGCUCAAUAUCAAAGCCCAGAGGGCAUUGUUUGAAGAAUGCUGACCUGACUACUAACAUAGUUAGUGGUUAGAAUGUUGUUAUAUUGCAUAGGUAGGGUAGUUUGUUCUGAGGCUUGCUUCACUGAGCUCAAGAUGAGCUAUGUUUUAAAUAUCAGAUUGUAUUACUGAAUUUUUUGUUGAUUGACGAUUGACAGAAUCCAAUUCAUUAUAGAAUUC